This 159-nucleotide ribosomal RNA is filed under the name Triticum aestivum (bread wheat). Its description in RNAcentral is "partial small subunit ribosomal RNA". Lineage: Eukaryota; Viridiplantae; Streptophyta; Magnoliopsida; Poales; Poaceae. The record is from RNAcentral.
UUUGGAUUUAGAUGGAAAGUUGGCAAUGGGGAGAGGGUCAGAUUUUGGGAAGACACCUGGUUCGGGACUUCGCCACUAGCUACCCAAUUCUAGCCUGUCUACCUGGUCUGUAAUGAGCAGACUAAAACUAUCAAAGAAGUCUGGGAUGGGGAAACCCUA